CGUAACAAGGUCUCCGUAGGUGAACCUGCGGAGGGAUCAUU
This 41-nucleotide ribosomal RNA is filed under the name Cladosporium sphaerospermum. RNAcentral's name for it is "partial 18S ribosomal RNA". RNAcentral also lists the same sequence under 17 other names. The record is from RNAcentral. Lineage: Eukaryota; Fungi; Ascomycota; Dothideomycetes; Cladosporiales; Cladosporiaceae.